RNAcentral lists this ribosomal RNA (440 nucleotides) under uncultured bacterium. Its description in RNAcentral is "partial 16S ribosomal RNA". It matches the Rfam family "Bacterial small subunit ribosomal RNA", at positions 338 to 795 of the family's 1533-position model. The record is from RNAcentral.
CCUACGGGAGGCAGCAGUGGGGAAUAUUGCACAAUGGGGGAAACCCUGAUGCAGCGACGCCGCGUGAGUGAAGAAGGAACUCGUUAUGUAAAGCUCUAUCAGCAGGGAAGAAAAUGACGGUACCUGAGUAAGAAGCCCCGGCUAACUACGUGCCAGCAGCCGCGGUAAUAUGGAAGGGGCAAGCGUUAUACGGAGUUACUGGGUGUAAAGGGGGCGUAGACGGCAGUGCAAGUCUGGUGUGAAAGGCGGGGGCUCAACCCCCGGACUGCGCUGGAAACUGUACGGCUGGAGUGCGGGAGAGGUAAGUGGAAUUCCUAGUGUAGCGGUGAAAUGCGUAGAUAUUAGGAGGAACACCAGUGGCGAAGGCGGCUUACUGGACUGUAACUGACGUUGAGGCUCGAAAGCGUGGGGAGCAAACAGGAUUAGAUACCCGUGUAGUC